This 1089-nucleotide ribosomal RNA is filed under the name uncultured bacterium. RNAcentral's name for it is "bacterial SSU rRNA". It matches the Rfam family "Bacterial small subunit ribosomal RNA", at positions 8 to 1104 of the family's 1533-position model. The record is from RNAcentral.
AGAGUUUGAUCCUGGCUCAGAGUGAACGCUGGCGGCGUGCUUAACACAUGCAAGUCGAACGAGAACGGGUCAUAGCUUGCUAUGAUUGUCAGCUAAGUGGCGCACGGGUGAGUAAUAUAUAGGUAAUAUGCCUCUUACUAAGGGAUAACAGAUGGAAACGUCUGCUAAUACCUUAUAUGCCUUUAAGACUAAAGUCUGCAAGGGAAAGAUUUAUUGGUAAGAGAUUAGCCUGUACAGUAUCAGUUAGUUGGUGAGGUAAUGGCUCACCAAGACAAUGACACUUAACUGGCUUGAGAGGAUGAUCAGUCACACUGGAACUGAGACACGGUCCAGACUCCUACGGGAGGCAGCAGUGGGGAAUAUUGCACAAUGGACGAAGGUCUGAUGCAGCAACGCCGCGUGGAGGAUGACACAUUUCGGUGCGUAAACUCCUUUUAUAUGGGAAGAUAAUGACGGUACCAUAUGAAUAAGCACCGGCUAACUCCGUGCCAGCAGCCGCGGUAAUACGGAGGGUGCAAGCGUUACUCGGAAUCACUGGGCGUAAAGAGCGUGUAGGCGGGUUGAUAAGUUCGAAGUGAAAUCCUAUAGCUUAACUAUAGAACUGCUUUGAAAACUGUUAACCUAGAAUAUGGGAGAGGUAGAUGGAAUUUCUGGUGUAGGGGUAAAAUCCGUAGAGAUCAGAAGGAAUACCGAUUGCGAAGGCGAUCUACUGGAACAUUAUUGACGCUGAGACGCGAAAGCGUGGGUAGCAAACGGGAUUAGAUACCCCGGUAGUCCACGCCCUAAACGAUGUACACUAGUUGUUGUGAGGCUCGACCUUGCAGUAAUGCAGUUAACACAUUACGUGUACCGCCUGGGGAGUACGGUCGCAAGAUUAAAACUCAAAGGAAUAGACGGGGACCCGCACAAGCGGUGGAGCAUGUGGUUUAAUUCGACGAUACACGAAGAACCUUACCUGGACUUGACAUAGUAAGAACUUUCUAGAGAUAGAUUGGUGUCUGCUUGCAGAAACUUAUAUACAGGUGCUGCACGGCUGUCGUCAGCUCGUGUCGUGAGAUGUUGGGUUAAGUCCCGCAACGAGCGCAACCC